Long non-coding RNA from Cavia porcellus (domestic guinea pig), 672 nucleotides. RefSeq lists it as uncharacterized. The transcript is spliced from 2 exons. Lineage: Eukaryota; Metazoa; Chordata; Mammalia; Rodentia; Caviidae. The record is from RefSeq and is a predicted model, not a curated record.
GCGGGGCUGGCCGGCCAGCGGCCUCCUCCUCCCGCUGUAGCCGCUGCGUGAGGGGGCGGGGCAGGCUGGCCGAGGCCUCCGGGUCAGUGCAGAGGCCACGCCCGGGACGGCGGUCUGCUCCAUCGGCACCGUGCAGACAGGCCUCCCACCUUCGGCAGAGGACUCUGCAGGGGGACAGAGUUCAGGCCACAGGAAGGACCAGGGACGCUGAGACCAGGACAGCCGGGAGAGACCACUUUGGGUGUGCUGGGGCAGAUUUGCCCCCUCCUACUUCAUCAUUGUGAGGAGGAGGUGGCCCUGGACACAGCAGCUGAGCAUCACCUGAAACCAACAUCCGGGGCUUGUGCAAACCAGUAAAUAUCCUUGACAGUUUCCUCACCUAGAAAGAAGCAGCCCUGACCCACUGCUACGAGUACGGACGCAGACAACAGAUUGCAGACCUGAAGCAAGCACUUCUGAGUAUGCCCAGGAGAGUGCUUAGUCUGUGUGCUCACUGUUGUGACCAGGGACUGCAGGAUAUCACCCACACACAGGCACACAUUUGGGUGUUCAGAGUUGGCUAUGCAUUCUUGUAUUUCUUGUCUUUAUAACUUAAGAGAUUCCUGCCCCAUACCCGAGUUCUUCCCUCUGUGAAGUGGUGGGAAUAAAGUUUUCAAGUUUAAAAGCUGUGAA